Molecule: non-coding RNA, 30 nt
Filed under: Mus musculus (house mouse)
Lineage: Eukaryota; Metazoa; Chordata; Mammalia; Rodentia; Muridae
Source: RNAcentral
UACCUCUAUAUUGUGUGUAGGAAGUGCUGU